GAGGAUCCGGAUCCCGCUGCCGGUCAGCUCGCACCGAGCCCUGCCCUAGCCCCGCCGGCGCCCCCCGGAGCCCCCCCCCCCCGAUCCUUGUCCCGCACUCACCUCGCCGGUGCGGCCGUGGGAAGCGGUGGCGGAGGCCGUCGGAGGGAGGCGGCGGGGGCGGGGGGCGCGCACCGCUGGGUUCUGCGCCGCGCCCGCCGCUGCCCCGCACAAAUCGGGACCUCCCGACAGCUGAUCGUGACGUCACAAAGCGGCCCGCCCGCCCCCGCCCAACGGCCAAUGGGAGGCGGGGCCGAGCCAAGCCCCGCCCACCCCGGGGGGGUCCCGGUACCGGGGGGGUCGGCACCGGGCAUGGACGGGGCGGCUCCGGAGCCUGAGCCCCGCCUGGGUCGGCUGUGGGCAGAGCUCCCCCGGGCCGAGCCGGGCGUUUCCAGCCCGGUGCCCCCGGUGCAGCUCGAGGGGUCCCCGGGGGUCUCGUCCGUGCCCGAGGAGGAGCCUCCCCGGGGCUCACCGGAGGGUACGGCCCCCGCCGGCCGCAGCCGGGUGUAGGAAUCCCCCUUUAACGGGAGUGGGUGUGAAGGAGCGCAGCGGGGCAAAUCCCGCCGGGCUUGAGCUUACCCCAGGACAAACCCUCCCGUCCCGUCCCGUCCCGUCCCGUCCCCCCGAUGUGACCCCGGGUGAGCCGCCCCUGCCCGUCCCCACCGGGCCCGGAGGUGUUUCCCAGCCCCGCUGCCCGGCUCCGCUCUGCAUCGUGCUGCACCGAAACCCGGUGCGGCAGCCGGGAGCUACGAGGCACGGAUCCCCCCCCCCCGGUAGCGGGGUGACCGGGCUGUGCCCCUCUGGUGGCAGCGCCCAGCGAGGUGCCCGCAGGUCUCCUGCCGGCGGGGAGCGGCCACGUGGCGGCACGGGACCGGGGCUGCUGAGCUCUGUGUAACCGCUGGCACCCCGUGCAUUCGGGUGACUGCUGAAAAUAGGAUGAUGAGCACGUUGGUUUCUGCUUCACCGGAGGGGUUUUGAGAAGCAGCUCCAAAAGCUGCCGGCAA
This 1043-nucleotide long non-coding RNA is filed under the name Anas platyrhynchos platyrhynchos (common mallard). Its description in RNAcentral is "lncRNA (ENSAPLG00000020760.1)". The record is from RNAcentral. Lineage: Eukaryota; Metazoa; Chordata; Aves; Anseriformes; Anatidae.